UCCGUAUAACAAUACUCCGAGAACUGAAAGGCUUUUUGAAGUCUUCGGAUGGAUAGAAGAACCCCUGAUGCCGUCGAGCCAAGAAAAGUUUCUAAGUUUAGCUAAUGUUGCCCGUACCGUAAACCGACACAGGUGGGUGGGAUGAGUAUUCUAAGGCGCGUGGAAGAACUCUCUUUAAGGAACUCUGCAAAAUAGCACCGUAUCUUCGGUAUAAGGUGUGGUUAGCUUCGUACUAGGAUUUACUCCGAAAGCGAAGAAACUUACAACAAAGAGUCCCUCCCGACUGUUUACCAAAAACACAGCACUCUGCUAACUCGUAAGAGGAUGUAUAGGGUGUGACGCCUGCCCGGUGCUCGAAGGUUAAUUGAUGGGGUUAGCAUUAGCGAAGCUCUUGAUCGAAGCCCGAGUAAACGGCGGCCGUAACUAUAACGGUCCUAAGGUAGCGAAAUUCCUUGUCGGUUAAAUACCGACCUGCAUGAAUGGCGUAACGAGAUGGGAGCUGUCUCAAAGAGGGAUCCAGUGAAAUUGUAGUGGAGGUGAAAAUUCCUCCUACCCGCGGCAAGACGGAAAGACCCCGUGGACCUUUACUACAGCUUGACACUGCUACUUGGAUAAGAAUGUGCAGGAUAGG
Molecule: ribosomal RNA, 631 nt
Filed under: Campylobacter jejuni
Lineage: Bacteria; Pseudomonadati; Campylobacterota; Epsilonproteobacteria; Campylobacterales; Campylobacteraceae
Description: partial 23S ribosomal RNA
Rfam family: Bacterial large subunit ribosomal RNA
Source: RNAcentral